AGCGAACGCUGGCGGCAGGCCUAACACAUGCAAGUCGAACGAACUCUUCGGAGUUAGUGGCGGACGGGUGAGUAACACGUGGGAACGUGCCUUUUGGUUCGGAAUAACUCAGGGAAACUUGUGCUAAUACCGAAUGUGCCCUUCGGGGGAAAGAUUUAUCGCCAUUAGAGCGGCCCGCGUCUGAUUAGCAAGUUGGUGAGGUAACGGCUCACCAAGGCGACGAUCAGUAGCUGGUCUGAGAGGAUGACCAGCCACACUGGGACUGAGACACGGCCCAGACUCCUACGGGAGGCAGCAGUGGGGAAUCUUGCGCAAUGGGCGAAAGCCUGACGCAGCCAUGCCGCGUGAAUGAUGAAGGUCUUAGGAUUGUAAAAUUCUUUCACCGGGGACGAUAAUGACGGUACCCGGAGAAGAAGCCCCGGCUAACUUCGUG
This 433-nucleotide ribosomal RNA is filed under the name uncultured bacterium. Its description in RNAcentral is "partial 16S ribosomal RNA". It matches the Rfam family "Bacterial small subunit ribosomal RNA", at positions 29 to 507 of the family's 1533-position model. The record is from RNAcentral.